Molecule: long non-coding RNA, 565 nt
Organism: Anthonomus grandis grandis
Lineage: Eukaryota; Metazoa; Arthropoda; Insecta; Coleoptera; Curculionidae
Exons: 3
Source: RefSeq, a predicted model, not a curated record
UUUUACUAUUAAAGAUGUCAACACAACGAUAUCUUUAAGAUGUAAUCAAAUACAAAAGGUAUAUGAAGCAAUACGGUGGAUACAUAAGCCAAUAACUCUUAUCAUCAUGCAUGCGAAUGCACGACUGUUUGACUUUGGAUGGGGUCACAAGUUACUUCGUGAUUUGAAAUUCAUUAUUUUUGUUAAGAAAAAUCAAAAUCAAUGCACGUUCAAAAGGAUUUUUUUAUAAACGCGUAAUCUGUUGGCGUGCCAUUGUUUUUGCCCUUGAAUUUUGGGAAUCAUCUGAGACAUUCCAACGGUACUAAUGGUGUUCCCCAAAGCGGGCUGUUGCGCAGGCGGGGCCGACGACGAUCUCGGUACGUUAUGUUGAUCCACCAUGCCCGUCCUUUGGACCACAAUGUACUGACUUACUGUACCAACCUAAUUGUUCCCGUUGCGCCUCACUAAAGGACUAAUAUCAUACCUACAGAUUACUACUCACUCACUUCGGGACUAAGGGCGGAUCCUUGCGGUAGAACGGCCAUCGUCACGGGGAUUCCUUGACCGGAAGUGGUGAACACGUGUC